CAGUAGCCGCGGGAAUACGGAGGGUGCAAGCGUUAAUCGGAAUUACUGGGCGUAAAGCGUGCGUAGGCGGUUCGUUAAGUCUGUUGUGAAAGCCCCGGGCUCAACCUGGGAAUGGCAAUGGAUACUGGCGAGCUAGAGUGUGUCAGAGGAUGGUGGAAUUCCCGGUGUAGCGGUGAAAUGUUCUGAUCCUCGGGGGACCACCGGUGGCGAAGGCGUUCGACGAGAACGGGCCUGACGGUGAGGGGCGAAGGCUAGGGGAGCAAACGGGAUUAGAUACCCGUGUAGUCCCUGUCUCUUAUAC
RNAcentral lists this ribosomal RNA (301 nucleotides) under uncultured bacterium. Its description in RNAcentral is "partial 16S ribosomal RNA". It matches the Rfam family "Bacterial small subunit ribosomal RNA", at positions 509 to 807 of the family's 1533-position model. The record is from RNAcentral.